CCUGGUGGCUCAGCUGGUAAAGAAUCUGCCUGCAAUGCAGAAGACCUGGGUUCAACUCCUAGGUCAGGA
RNAcentral lists this transfer RNA (69 nucleotides) under Bos taurus (domestic cattle). It matches the Rfam family "tRNA". From Rfam's summary of the family: Transfer RNA (tRNA) molecules are approximately 80 nucleotides in length. Their secondary structure includes four short double-helical elements and three loops (D, anti-codon, and T loops). Lineage: Eukaryota; Metazoa; Chordata; Mammalia; Artiodactyla; Bovidae. RNAcentral also lists the same sequence under 4 other names. The record is from Rfam by way of RNAcentral.